GAUGAACGCUGGCGGCGUGCCUAAUACAUGCAAGUCGAACGCUUCACUUCGGUGAAGAGUGGCGAACGGGUGAGUAAUACAUAAGUAACCUGGCAUCUACAGGGGGAUAACUGAUGGAAACGUCAGCUAAGACCGCAUAGGUGUAGAGAUCGCAUGAACUCUAUAUGAAAAGUGCUACGGGACUGGUAGAUGAUGGACUUAUGGCGCAUUAGCUUGUUGGUAGGGUAACGGCCUACCAAGGCGACGAUGCGUAGCCGACCUGAGAGGGUGACCGGCCACACUGGGACUGAGACACGGCCCAGACUCCUACGGGAGGCAGCAGUAGGGAAUUUUCGGCAAUGGGGGAAACCCUGACCGAGCAACGCCGCGUGAAGGAAGAAGUAAUUCGUUAUGUAAACUUCUGUCAUAGAGGAAGAACGGUGGAUAUAGGGAAUGAUAUCCAAGUGACGGUACUCUAUAAGAAAGCCAC
RNAcentral lists this ribosomal RNA (469 nucleotides) under uncultured bacterium. RNAcentral describes it as "bacterial SSU rRNA". It matches the Rfam family "Bacterial small subunit ribosomal RNA", at positions 28 to 494 of the family's 1533-position model. The record is from RNAcentral.